GACGAACGCUGGCGGCGUGCCUAAUACAUGCAAGUCGAGCGGAAUGAUGAAGAAGCUUGCUUCUUCUGAUUUUAGCGGCGGACGGGUGAGUAACACGUGGGCAACCUACCUUGUAGAUUGGGAUAACUCCGGGAAACCGGGGCUAAUACCGGAUAAUCCAUUUUGCUUCAUGGCGAGAUGUUGAAAGACGGUUUCGGCUGUCACUACAAGAUGGGCCCGCGGCGCAUUAGCUAGUUGGUAGGGUAAUGGCCUACCAAGGCGACGAUGCGUAGCCGACCUGAGAGGGUGAUCGGCCACACUGGGACUGAGACACGGCCCAGACUCCUACGGGAGGCAGCAGUAGGGAAUCUUCCACAAUGGACGAAAGUCUGAUGGAGCAACGCCGCGUGAGUGAAGAAGGUUUUCGGAUCGUAAAACUCUGUUGUAAGGGAAGAACACGUACGAGAGUAACUGCUCGUACCUUGACGGUACCUUAUUAGAAAGCCACGGCUAACUACGUG
Molecule: ribosomal RNA, 500 nt
Filed under: uncultured bacterium
Lineage: Bacteria
Description: bacterial SSU rRNA
Rfam family: Bacterial small subunit ribosomal RNA
Source: RNAcentral